This 68-nucleotide transfer RNA is filed under the name Clionella kraussii. RNAcentral describes it as "tRNA-Met". It matches the Rfam family "tRNA". Rfam says of the family: Transfer RNA (tRNA) molecules are approximately 80 nucleotides in length. Their secondary structure includes four short double-helical elements and three loops (D, anti-codon, and T loops). The record is from RNAcentral. Lineage: Eukaryota; Metazoa; Mollusca; Gastropoda; Neogastropoda; Clavatulidae.
UGUAAAAUAAGCUAAAUGUUAAGCUAUCGGGUUCAUACCCCGAAAAUGAAUUUAAGAUUCUUUUACAA